CUGAGCCUUCCUUGAAUGGUGUCCUUAACCCUCAGAAUGAGAGCAGGUAAGGUUGGCCUGCAUACCAACUGACACCCUAUUCCCUAGUGCAUGACUUUUGACCACGGCCCAAAAGAUGUACAAGGCUGCAUUAGGGCCCAAAAGGUGGACAAGGCUGCAUCAGGGCCCAAAAGGUGAACAAGGCUGCAUCAGGGCCCAACAGGUGAACAAGACUGCAUCAGGGCCCAAAAGGUGAACAAGACUGCAUCAGGGCCCAACAGGUGAACAAGGCUGCAUCAGGGCCCAACAGGUGAACAAGACUGCAUCAGGGCCCAAAAGGUGAACAAGACUGCAUCAGGGCCCAACAGGUGAAC
RNAcentral lists this long non-coding RNA (353 nucleotides) under Salmo salar (Atlantic salmon). RNAcentral's name for it is "lncRNA (ENSSSAG00000094294.1)". The record is from RNAcentral. Lineage: Eukaryota; Metazoa; Chordata; Actinopteri; Salmoniformes; Salmonidae.